GCUUUCUCCCAGGUUGGGACUGGGUGUAAAGCGAGCGUCGAACUGGUUGCAGCCGGUUCGGCGCUCAUUUUUUUCGUUU
Non-coding RNA from Corynebacterium jeikeium, 79 nucleotides. Lineage: Bacteria; Bacillati; Actinomycetota; Actinomycetes; Mycobacteriales; Corynebacteriaceae. The record is from Rfam.